UACGUAGGGUGCGAGCGUUUGUCCGGAAUUAUUGGGCGUAAAGCGCACGUAGGCGGCAUUGCAAGUCGGAUGUGAAAUCCCUCGGCUUAACCAAGGAAGUGCAUCCGAAACUGCAGUGCUUGAGUACUUAAGAGGAUCGCGGAAUUCCCGGUGUAGAGGUGAAAUUCGUAGAUAUCGGGAGGAACACCAGUGGCGAAGGCGGCGAUCUGGGAAGAUACUGACGCUGAGGUGCGAAAGCGUGGGGAGCAAACAGG
Molecule: ribosomal RNA, 254 nt
Filed under: uncultured bacterium
Lineage: Bacteria
Description: partial 16S ribosomal RNA
Rfam family: Bacterial small subunit ribosomal RNA
Source: RNAcentral